UGAGGGGCCCAGGACCGUCGUUCGCGGGCAACCGCGAGAGGAAAGUCCGGGCUCCACGGGUCAGGAUGGUUGCUAACGGCAACCGGCCGCGAGGCCAGGGAAAGUGCCACAGAAAACAAACCGCCAUCCGGCCCUCACGGGUCGGGCGGCAAGGGUGAAACGGUGCGGUAAGAGCGCACCGCGGAGCUGGUGACAGCUCUGGCAGGGCAAACCCCAUCCGGAGAAAGACCAAAUAGGGAUGGCUCAUGGGGACGACCCGCUCCUCGCCAUCCGGGUAGGUCGUUCGAGGGCGUGCGCGAGCACGCUCCCAGAGAAAGGACGGUCUCGCCGCGCAAGCGGUCAGACAGGACCCGGCUUACAGGGCCCCUCACGCC
Molecule: RNase P RNA, 374 nt
Filed under: Planctomycetota bacterium
Lineage: Bacteria; Pseudomonadati; Planctomycetota
Description: RNase P RNA component class A
Rfam family: Bacterial RNase P class A
About the family: Ribonuclease P (RNase P) is a ubiquitous endoribonuclease, found in archaea, bacteria and eukarya as well as chloroplasts and mitochondria. Its best characterised activity is the generation of mature 5'-ends of tRNAs by cleaving the 5'-leader elements of precursor-tRNAs. Cellular RNase Ps are ribonucleoproteins.
Source: RNAcentral